GGCCGAUCAGUUUUCCUUGUCCAGUGAGAUUGAAAGGAACAGAACGUCCAAGCUGUGCCCCUGUCAGCCCAGAGAUCAAGGUCAGGGAGAGAUCCAAAGCCUGAAAAUGAAUACAGCAGAAACAGGAAGGGUGGCUAUGAGCAGGUCUGGGACCGAGUCGCCUUGGAGGUCUGGGAGUAACACCGCCUGGGAUUCAAUGUUCUUGAGCUGGACUGACGAUAAGUUCUUCCCUGAGGAGUGAAAGAAAACCUCUUUGACCUUGUUUUGUUUUACACUUUGAAUACCUGGGGAAGGCUACCCUUAUUGACGUGUUUCUCCAAAUGAGGACAGCUGAUCCGUUUGACUUCGCCCAAGACCAAAUACAAAAGCCAUGAGGGUGGACUUGCUGAUGAGGAGACACACGGGUGACGGCUGGGAGCUGUACUGCAGACCACACUGGAUGUACAUCACAGACUCCCCCAUGACUUUCCUCCACAGCACCUGACCGCUGACUGCAGA
Long non-coding RNA from Toxotes jaculatrix (banded archerfish), 498 nucleotides. RefSeq lists it as uncharacterized. The transcript is spliced from 3 exons. The record is from RefSeq and is a predicted model, not a curated record. NCBI's taxonomy places the organism in Eukaryota, Metazoa, Chordata, Actinopteri, Toxotidae.